RNAcentral lists this long non-coding RNA (681 nucleotides) under Spirodela polyrhiza (greater duckweed). RNAcentral's name for it is "long non-coding RNA (SPOL_LNC000664)". Lineage: Eukaryota; Viridiplantae; Streptophyta; Magnoliopsida; Alismatales; Araceae. The record is from RNAcentral.
CGCAACGCCGAGAUCUACGGGGUGGCGGACAACAUCGACUUCAUCGCCGGCGACUUCCUCCGACUCGCUCCGUCCCUAAAGGUACGCCCUCAAUGGGCUCUGGCCCAGACCGGGCUAGAGAGCAGCUGAAUUGACCGGCCAAAGGUCAACUGGGUCGGGAGAAAAAAAAAAAAAAUGAUGGGUCAAUGCCAUGAUGGGCCGGAUUCUUGGCGGCACUUUUGAUUGGUCUAAAGCUAUGCAUGCUCUGGCUCCAGGGUGACGUGGUGUUUCUCUCGCCGCCAUGGGGCGGCCCGGCCUACAAUGCCAUUGGGAACUUCACCCUUGACUUGCUCAAACCUGAAGACGGGUGAGUACAGCUAUCAAUCCGAGUUCUUUCCAAAAUAUUGGAAGGGAAAUAUGAAUAUCGGGUGCAUCUCCUCGCAUUUGAGUUAAAAUAAACAGUGGUUAUGAAUAUUAUAUAUAUAUAUUGGCAGAUAUUCAAUAUUCCAGAUUUCGCAGAGGAUAGCGCCAAGCAUCAUCAUGUUCUUACCUCGCACUGUGGAUCUGGGCCAGGUGGAGGAGCUCUCCUGGUUGUCUUCACCUCCUCUGGACUUCCAGGUGACCGUCAGUAUCUAUCUAUCUCUGUCUACAUGAGUUGUUCCCACGGUUGAGGCUCUUACUGUCUGGGCUUUCAUUCACCGC